CCUACGGGCGGCAGCAGUGGGGAAUAUUGGACAAUGGGGGGAACCCUGAUCCAGCCAUGCCGCGUGUGUGAAGAAGGCCCUCGGGUUGUAAAGCACUUUCAGUGAGGAAGAACGCCUGGUGGUUAAUACCCAUCAGGAAAGACAUCACUCACAGAAGAAGCACCGGCUAACUCCGUGCCAGCAGCCGCGGUAAUACGGAGGGUGCGAGCGUUAAUCGGAAUUACUGGGCGUAAAGCGCGCGUAGGUGGCUUGAUAAGCCGGUUGUGAAAGCCCCGGGCUCAACCUGGGAACGGCAUCCGGAACUGUCAAGCUAGAGUGCAGGAGAGGAAGGUAGAAUUCCCGGUGUAGCGGUGAAAUGCGUAGAGAUCGGGAGGAAUACCAGUGGCGAAGGCGGCCUUCUGGACUGACACUGACACUGAGGUGCGAAAGCGUGGGUAGCACACAGGAUUAGAUACCCGUGUAGUC
This 465-nucleotide ribosomal RNA is filed under the name Vreelandella stevensii. Its description in RNAcentral is "partial 16S ribosomal RNA". It matches the Rfam family "Bacterial small subunit ribosomal RNA", at positions 338 to 795 of the family's 1533-position model. The record is from RNAcentral. Lineage: Bacteria; Pseudomonadati; Pseudomonadota; Gammaproteobacteria; Oceanospirillales; Halomonadaceae.